This 433-nucleotide long non-coding RNA is filed under the name Ananas comosus (pineapple). RNAcentral's name for it is "long non-coding RNA (ACOM_LNC029048)". Lineage: Eukaryota; Viridiplantae; Streptophyta; Magnoliopsida; Poales; Bromeliaceae. The record is from RNAcentral.
ACCUGCUUCGUUACUGCUUGAUAUAUAUAUUGCAUAUAUCUAUCCGUGCCUGCUUGAGACCUAGUGGGUAGAUCGGCGGAGUCGGCGGCCGAACCCACUGGGAACUAUUCGUAGUUCUCACCCCCGUGUGGUUUUGGGGGUACAGGUACACAGGACAGCGGGCCUUCAUCGAUGGAUCGCGGUAAGGGCAUAGUGCCCUAGCUUUUGGUAGAUAGCUUACUUUACCUAUUUGCAUUAGCUCUACCCUGUACCAUACUUUUACAUUUUGAGAGUAGAUGUUGUGUAGGGUGAGGUUUUGGAGAGAUUAUGAUGUAUUUACAUUUUGGAAAAGAAUGCAAGUUGUAUCAAUGUUUAAAGUUAAAAUGAUAUAAAAAGAGAUUAAAUGUUUCAAUUAUGUCUCUAUUAGUUAAGUUUCUCUCUUUUGUAUACUUGU